Molecule: long non-coding RNA, 531 nt
Filed under: Trifolium pratense (red clover)
Lineage: Eukaryota; Viridiplantae; Streptophyta; Magnoliopsida; Fabales; Fabaceae
Description: long non-coding RNA (TPRA_LNC011067)
Source: RNAcentral
AGGAAGUUGAAGCAGAGGAAGAAGGAAAUUGAAGGAACGGAUACAAGCAGCACAUAAGAUUGGUUUUAAUUUCUUCCUUUGUUGAUUGAUUUCUAUUUUACUAUGUGUAGCUAAAUUCUUGAUUGGUCCUAGGGGAUUCUAAUUGUUAUUUUUCUUGAACAAUGUGAUUAUCAUAUGAUAUGAUCAAUGAAUUACGAAGUUAGUUUCUUCAAUUAUUCCUUGUGCUUAAUGCCUUGCAUGACUUGAUCAAUUGUGUAAUGAUUUCAAUUAUUUGUUUUACUAUGACGAUAGGAAUGAAUGAUCGAUCUAGGAAUGAUUGAUCAAUUAACUUUCACUAAGACAUUUCGGAUUGUUAAUUGAGAUUAAAAGAUUAAAGUUUGUAAACCUCAAUUGAUCAUAGAUUACCUAAGACAUUAGGAAUCGAUUAUCAAGAGAGAGGAUUAUGUUACCAAGACAUUGGGCAUAAUCAUUUUUGAUUUAAUCUAAUCGUGAAACUGAAUUGAGUAAUUUGUAAUCAUACAUGAAAUUACC